UGGGGAAUAUUGGACAAUGGAGGAAACUCUGAUCCAGCAAUUCUGUGUGUGUGAAGAAGGUUUUAGGACUGUAAAACACUUUUAGUAGGGAAGAAAAAAAUGACGGUACCUACAGAAGAAGCAACGGCUAAAUACGUGCCAGCAGCCGCGGUAAUACGUAUGUUGCGAGCGUUAUCCGGAAUUAUUGGGCUUAAAGGGCAUCUAGGCGGUAAGACAAGUUGAAGGUGAAAACCUGUGGCUCAACCAUAGGCUUGCCUACAAAACUGUUGAACUAGAGUACUGGAAAGGUGGGUGGAACUACACGAGUAGAGGUGAAAUUCGUAGAUAUGUGUAGGAAUGCCGAUGAUGAAGAUAACUCACUGGACCGAAACUGACGCUGAAGUGCGAAAGCUAGGGGAGCAAACAGG
Molecule: ribosomal RNA, 407 nt
Filed under: Verrucomicrobiota bacterium
Lineage: Bacteria; Pseudomonadati; Verrucomicrobiota
Description: Verrucomicrobia bacterium partial 16S ribosomal RNA
Rfam family: Bacterial small subunit ribosomal RNA
Source: RNAcentral